GCCUGGGUGGCUCAGUCGGUUGAGCGUCCGACUUCAGCUCGGGUCAUGAUCUCACAGUCUGUGGGUUCGAGCCCCGCGUCUGGCU
Molecule: transfer RNA, 85 nt
Filed under: Felis catus (domestic cat)
Lineage: Eukaryota; Metazoa; Chordata; Mammalia; Carnivora; Felidae
Rfam family: tRNA
About the family: Transfer RNA (tRNA) molecules are approximately 80 nucleotides in length.
Source: Rfam by way of RNAcentral